CAGCUCUACAUCAUGCAAUCACAUGGACGGAGGAGGAAAAAGGGGGCUGAUCAGCAACAAACUUGAACCGUGAUCAAGUUCGCUGCAAGUCCUGUAUUCUGAUUUACAAAGGGCUAAAAAAAAACAAAAAAAACGAUGUGCCAGAACACCGUCCACCCUGCUUAAAGGAAUGAUACUCCCCCUCAUUUGGACUCACAGCUGGAACUUGAAGACUGAAAACGGAAGUUUAAAAAUUCUACAAGAGGUCUGAAAAAGACUAAAUAGUGCGUUCGAGGUUUUGGUAGCGCGGGGGAGGGGGGGUGUUACACAGCUCAGAAAAUCCGGAUGCAGUACAAAGAUAUCAUAUAAACAACGGCUCCGUGAACUUUAACCCCGACACUCGCUAAGUCUCACGUUAUUGGUGGGUGGGGCGCAGAGCUCACGACACCUCCAGCAGCCUCCUGGAGCGGGGGAGUGCGACAACUGCAGACAAACCUGAGUGGGGUUUUUUUACAGUUCUGGCUCAAACUUGGGUCACACACCGGAGACACUAAAGCUUUUCAAUACAUUGCCUGUCCGCGCCGGGCCUUAAUAUUAAGGCGUGUGCAGAAGUGAUCGCAUCUACAAACCUUAAUAAUAUAUUUUAUGUACAGUGCACUGGAACUUUUUUUUUCCUGUUGGGAACUGUUCUGUAAAAAUGCAACAGUGACUCAUGACCGCGGUCGAUCAGAUAACGACGGACGAGUCACACGUCAGCGGUGUACAGUGCACAAGCUUUCAGCGGAGAAUGAGAGAAAAAGAUGUUUCGAUAAGAAACCGUGCCGCAGUUACUUUUUUUGUAUCAACCUUUUAGAGUAAUUCAACCACGACGAAAUACGACAGCCCAAGGAUCUGGAGUUUCGAACAAGUCGAAGAACGUUUCCAUCCCCUACACAAAGCACUGACGAAAUAGGACGGAAUUCGGACACAUCGUGCCAAAUGAGUUUGUGCUGAUGAAGAGUCAGAUGGGGAAACAGUGCACAUCGGACCAAAAAUCAGAGAGAGCUCAGCACGCCACUUUGAAGUCAAGUACAGGCAAAUCCCUCCACGAUCUUUCUGAAGGCCCCUGGAAUGACACUGUGAUCUUGGGGUACAGGACUGUGCGCAAUUCAGCAGGAACAGACUGCACAGAGAUGGGGUUUUGUGUCCCUUCAUAACACUGGACAGAAAACAGCAAGAAGAGCCUUUCCUCUUAUCACAGUGGUGCUGACACCCGAGUACAGCAGAGCAGAUGUGUCUGACAACUCACAGGUACAGCAGGAGAGCCACGGUGUCAGACGCUCUGCUGUGGGCCACAUGUGUGAUCAGCACCGAGAGCCGCAAACAGCCAGGAUUUCCUGGGUACGAGGCCUUUGAUGGAGAGCAGAGGUGCUGACAGAACCCAUGAAACAUUCAAAUGGCUUGUGAUUGACGGGCAGUUGGACGUGCUCUGCUUUGAGCUGGCUGAAGAGUGAGAAGACAAACACACAUCAUUAAGCCAUCAACAGGGGCAAACUGUGAACAUGUGACGCCUGUGGCCGUGUUUUUGCAGGGCCCCGUUUGGUGACAUUGCCCAGACGUGAGACGUGAGAGAGCUGUCCAGUGUGUGAAGUGCAGAGGCUUUGAUGUCAAGAAAAAAAUAAAGUCCUAAAGAGAGGGAGAAGAGGCCAGGGAGCAAAAUGUCAUCACACUAAGAGGCUUGUCGUGACACAAGAGCACUCAAGGAGUAGCUGACAUAAGCGUUUGUAUUGUAGACCUCAACAAUUAGCAGCUACACAAACUUACAAAGAAGAAUGAAGGAAAAGAGGGGAAAAAAGUCCCUUGGUUUUGUCAUUUGACCGAUUGUUGGAGCAGAGCUCUAAAACUUGGAAAAUAAUUAAAGUACUUUGUGGUUGGGGAGGUAGCCAGGACUUGUGAAGCAGAAAGACUUAGUUCAAGACUGCUUUUUAAGCUUUCCAAUAAUACAGAACCUGAAUAUCAUGCACACACAUACCGGCUCAUUGAUUUGACCACUGAUAUCUUAACAAGCAGAGCAGCCUUUGAAAAGAACGGCCACCCAAAGCUUACUUAAUGGGACCUGCUAUAUGUGUGGUAGACGAUUUGAUACAUGGGUAUGCUUUAUGGAGCGUUGUUCAUUUUAAAAUGAACCGUAGUCAAAUUUCUUUUCUCCUCCCUCGUCUCGUGCAUCUGGAGGACACGAUUCAAAUUUCACCUUUCUGCUACAAAGUCAAAGGUGAGCACGUGAGCCCAAAGCCCGAAUAUGGUUGGGAUUCUGUUUUCAAGACCUGUAAAUUACGUCGCAGACAGUUGGAAAAAAAGUUACACCUCAUGCAAUUAGAGUAACAAUUAGAGUAACAAGAAUGUUUAGGAUGCCUUCAAUAUCAAACAGAAAACAGUAAAAAACAAACUCAAUAUAAACACCCCAAGAAUUACUGAAUCUCUCGAGCGAUCGCCUUUUUGAGGCAGCGCCUUGUACUUUUUAAUAACCCAGAUGUUCACACUUUUACUGACAGCUUUCAGUCAGAAGGAGAGGCUCCGGGUGCUCCUAGGGUGCAUCUCUCAUAAUACAUGCUGACCUCGCCCCCUCAGUCUCUGAAAACGUGCCUGUGCUCGGGAGACCCAAGGGCUGUUUACUUAAAGGCGAUUAGAGUGUGGUAAACAGACUUUUGGCAGGUUGUUUUGGAAAAGCUGAGAGGGUCUCAGCAGACUGUUCUAACGUGAUGUUUCAGAAGAGAGGAGUUUGUGGGUGAGUGUUGGCGGUUGGGGAGGGGUGGGGGAGUUAGAUUUCCUGGGUUGUCUUACCUACUUAGCUUUGCCUGGGGAAAAGGGUUUUACACACACAAUAACAAAAGUUCUGCCCUUCCCCCAACACCUCACCUCCCCACCCCCAUCCUAAAUGGGAAGUUUCGGACUGUUUGACUGUUUGGAAAACAAAGUGUUAGCUGAAGCCCUUCCCAAAUCCAGAAUCGUAACAAAGGUAGGAGUUCCUGAGAAGCAGGGCGACCGGAGCUACACUCUCAGUUAGGCAGAACCCAUGUAAAAUGGAGCAUCACAGCACCCUGGAAAAAACAGAAAGCAGCGUUCUUGACAGACAGAAAGAGGGAGAUGCUUUCACUCAGUUUUGUGGUCAAUGACGUAAAACCGAAAGGCGCAAAUCUUAUUUUCUCCUUGGCUGAUAAAAGGCCACAGACAUGCUUUCGCAGAGAAACAUGGAUGCUGCAACUGCACUCAGAGCCUCUUUCUGACUCCUGCAAAAACCACAUCAGUCAGAUUUCGCCAGCGAAUACAUUUUAAACGUCAUCUCAUGUGGAGCUUAAAAGACUGCUCGCAAAUGCUGAACGAGACAAAGACCUGAAAAUUACAACACUAUUUCUGAUUGGCGUUUUGUUUUUUAUAACAUAGCACACCUUAUGAAAGGUUCAUGAUGUACCAAGCAUCGCCUACUGUUUUAAUACCUGAUAAAAAGAGAUAAAAAGACACUCAGUGACUUAAAAACUAAAAAUGGUAGGGAGUUGUUAUAAGUUAAGUCAAUACUGAUGCGGUUAGGCAGGUUUUCCUUUUUAGCCAAUUACUUGAAAAUCACAUUCUAAGAACAUCACUAAAUGGCCAUGGUUGUAAUUACUGCCCGAAGCACAAGUCUUUCUAAACCUGGUCCUGGUGAAGUCUCAGUCCAGAUGUUUUUAUAGACAGCCUUUAAAAAAAUAAUUUUCUGAAGGCCUGGAACAAAUGAACUAUGAUCCUUAAUUGAACCUGUGGUGUGUUAAAUAAAGUAGAGAUCAUUUGAAACAAA
Molecule: non-coding RNA, 3787 nt
Organism: Lepisosteus oculatus (spotted gar)
Lineage: Eukaryota; Metazoa; Chordata; Actinopteri; Semionotiformes; Lepisosteidae
Source: RefSeq, a predicted model, not a curated record